RNAcentral lists this transfer RNA (67 nucleotides) under Prionailurus bengalensis (leopard cat). RNAcentral's name for it is "tRNA-Tyr". It matches the Rfam family "tRNA". From Rfam's summary of the family: Transfer RNA (tRNA) molecules are approximately 80 nucleotides in length. Their secondary structure includes four short double-helical elements and three loops (D, anti-codon, and T loops). Lineage: Eukaryota; Metazoa; Chordata; Mammalia; Carnivora; Felidae. The record is from RNAcentral.
GGUAAAAUGGCCGAGUAAGCAUUAGACUGUAAAUCUAAAGACAGAGGUUCAAACCCUCUUUUUACCA